Long non-coding RNA from Manis javanica (Malayan pangolin), 1930 nucleotides. RefSeq lists it as uncharacterized. NCBI's taxonomy places the organism in Eukaryota, Metazoa, Chordata, Mammalia, Pholidota, Manidae. The record is from RefSeq and is a predicted model, not a curated record.
UCCCUGGCCUGUGAUAGGAAGGCCAUGGAACCUUGCCCGGGGGGGUAUUCAAAUAAAUUACCUGGCCCUUUGUUGCCUCUCUUCACCUGCUUGUUUGAGCUAAAAUUUAUCUUACAUUUGGUGCCGAAACCCGGGGGAAGUAGUGUGAGUGCGGGGCCCCAACCAGCCACCAGCGGCUCCACCCCCUCCUUCCCUGAUCCAGGACCUCAGCCUGCUCUCUGCUGCAUGGACUAUUUUCUGAAUAAAAGCACCAACUUUCUGAAGCCCUCUCAACUAACCAGUGAUAGAGACCUAACUACACCCUUUACUGCAUCCCUUCUCAGCAUGAAGCAGCCAGAGCAGUCGUCGCCCCUUUUCCCUGGCAGCAGCUAGAGUCUCUAUCUGUAGAAAAAAAAAAUGAGACAAAAACCAUAAGUUUAGAUGGAGUGAAGUGAGAGCCUCUAAAGAGGGCAGGGUGAGAUAUUUGCAGUCAGAACAAUGUAACUACAUGCUAUGAAACCCCACCCCGCCACGACGCCCCUUGUCAGCCAAGAAUAGCCAGUUCAAGUCGUUACCCAUUAUGACCAAAAGGCUGAAAUAGUCCACGGUGUGUAGGAUAUCUGCCUAAGACGCAAGUCCACAGAGGAAAGCAGAACCCAGAGAUGAAGAGGAACACUAGUUCCUGGAUCUGGCUAUACCUGAAGCAAGCCCAAAGUUUGGUUGCAUGAACCAAUACAUUUUCUGCCCCUUGUCUUCUUGAGUUUGAAAAAAUUUUCUCCUUCUUGCCAUCAAAAGAGUCCCAAAUAAGAGAAUGAACCAGUCACCUACUGGCCUUCAGUAAGUCCCCCCACCUUUAAAAUAUUAAUUUCUUCUCCUGCAUAAUGAUGGUGAUGAUUCCUCCCUCAAGAACGGUAGGGGACUGUGUAAGAGACUGAGUGCAAUCACUCUUUAAAACCUGGAAGGUGUUACAUAAUGUAAGCAGUCGAUACUGGAGUGACUCAUUCUUUCAUAAACCCUUUGGUGGGGUAGGUUAUUCUUUUCAUUUUUUUCUAAGCAAAAGAAUUGCUGUAUCUUUGUCUCUUCAAAAAACAAAAUCCUCAACCACAGUAAACUGAGUUGGGCCUGCCUGCUCCCAUGUGAGGAGAAGGCUUAGGUGAGAGGUGCUUCUCUGGGAGGAGGUGGAACAGGUGACUUUCUCAGUGAGUGAGUGUUCACUGCUUUGGACCUAGGAAGGGCCAUGGGGUCUCUGGGUUUGUUACUGAGAUUUAAUCAGACAUAAAACUCUGAUUUCCUGCCUGAACCCCUAGCCAUAAAAUCACAGUUUAUUGUAGCCUCCAAACACCAUUGGUCACCAGGCCCCAUUCUCCAUGCCUGUGGGGCUGGUUAAUGAGCAUACAACAAAGUCCUCCUGGAAAGCAUUUCCCUCCCCUCUGUUCUUGCCUGCUGGCCCCUCUGACUUCCUCCCCAUUUGUGGCCUUGAUGGCUUUUCUAGAGCAGAGGCCUAAGCAGCAGCCUUGCCCCCAGAAGCAGGCUGGGGCUCUGUGCUGGGAGCAGUAGUCUCAAGCCCAGCAUGUCUGACCUUGAAAGUAGAACAUCAACCCUCUCUCCUCACCACACAAAGCUCCAGUGGGCCCAUCCUCAGAGCAGGGGGACAACAGGAGCUGUUGGCCCCAAUAACAAGGAGGCCUCGCUCAGGCCGCACCAGGCAGCCCCACUGUGGGAGUGCCCUUUGGGUGGAAGGUCGCAGAGACCUAACCCACACCCUCACCCUCUCUCUUAAGGACCCAGCCUCCUUUGGUGGGCCUGGGGUUGCACCCUGUCUGCGCACACAACCCUCCACCUCACAGCUUCUGUGGCCUCCUCUGGAGUCAGUCCUGUUUUGUGUGUUCCCAUCAAAUGGGGUGCUAACCACACACUUCAAGCAAGGGGGCUGGCUGAGGUGCUCGUCGUG